RNAcentral lists this ribosomal RNA (252 nucleotides) under uncultured bacterium. RNAcentral describes it as "partial 16S ribosomal RNA". It matches the Rfam family "Bacterial small subunit ribosomal RNA", at positions 524 to 776 of the family's 1533-position model. The record is from RNAcentral.
UACGUAGGGUGCGAGCGUUGUCCGGAAUUAUUGGGCGUAAAGAGCUCGUAGGCGGCUUGUCGCGUCGGAUGUGAAAGCCCGGGGCUUAACUCCGGGUCUGCAUUCGAUACGGGCAGGCUAGAGUUCGGUAGGGGAGAUCGGAAUUCCUGGUGUAGCGGUGAAAUGCGCAGAUAUCAGGAGGAACACCGGUGGCGAAGGCGGAUCUCUGGGCCGAUACUGACGUGAGGAGCGAAAGCGUGGGGAGCGAACAGG